Molecule: ribosomal RNA, 253 nt
Filed under: uncultured bacterium
Lineage: Bacteria
Description: partial 16S ribosomal RNA
Rfam family: Bacterial small subunit ribosomal RNA
Source: RNAcentral
UACGUAGGGACCAAGCGUUGUCCGGAUUUAUUGGGCGUAAAGAGCUCGUAGGCGGCCCUCCACGUCGGAUGUGAAAGCUCAGGGCUCAACCCUGAGAUGCCAUUCGAUACGGGAAGGCUAGAGGUAGGUAGGGGAAAGUGGAAUUCCUGGUGUAGCGGUGAAAUGCGCAGAUAUCAGGAGGAACACCGGUGGCGAAGGCGGUUCUCUGGGCAUGUCCUGACGCUGAGGAGCGAAAGUGUGGGGAGCGAACAGG